GAGUAGUCAAGCUAAUAACCACUCGUAAAAUGCUACUUGCAAUUUUUACACUUUGGUUUUUGUACCAAUUAAAACAAACAAGAUAUAGUGUACUGAAUUAACUGGUGAGCUCUAGAGUUCCCCAACCUUCCCUAACCAUGAAGAGGCCAUGUGUUGUUUUUAGCGCGGGUGCGUGCUACAACUGAGUGAGCCAAAACAAAAACCGACAGACCGGAGACGGCAUCACGCAAAAUGCUGAAAACUCAGAGGACAUGGACAAACAACAUAUUUUGUCUGGAUGACAUUUUCCACCUCCACUGUCCAUCCAUCCAUCCAUCGUCAACCGCUUAUCCUACGUGCAGGUUUGCGGGGGGCUGGAGUCAAUCCCAGCAGACAUCGGGCGAAAGGCGGGGUACACCCUGUACAGGUCGCCAGUCCAU
Molecule: long non-coding RNA, 419 nt
Organism: Micropterus dolomieu (smallmouth bass)
Lineage: Eukaryota; Metazoa; Chordata; Actinopteri; Centrarchiformes; Centrarchidae
Exons: 3
Source: RefSeq, a predicted model, not a curated record